GGUAUUGAAAUAAGAUUUUAAUUGAAUGCUAAGAGAAUGGAAGUCCAGAAAAAAACUUUUUUUAAAUUAAAAAUUGAAGUUUUUUUAAUUUGUGCAGAAACAAUUAUUUAUAUUAAAGACAAGAAGACCCUAUGAAUUUAUUAAAUUUUUAUUUAAUAUGUAAUUACUAUUAGAAAAAUUUUAGCUGGGGCGGCUAGAAAAUAUUAUAAACUUUUUAAAAAUAAAAUGAUCCAUUAUUAAUGAUUUUAUGUUAAAUACUCUAGGGAUAACAGCGU
This 275-nucleotide ribosomal RNA is filed under the name Rhipicephalus sanguineus (brown dog tick). RNAcentral describes it as "partial large subunit ribosomal RNA". Lineage: Eukaryota; Metazoa; Arthropoda; Arachnida; Ixodida; Ixodidae. The record is from RNAcentral.